This is a non-coding RNA of Cicer arietinum (chickpea), 495 nucleotides long. The record is from RefSeq and is a predicted model, not a curated record. NCBI's taxonomy places the organism in Eukaryota, Viridiplantae, Streptophyta, Magnoliopsida, Fabales, Fabaceae.
AUAAAGUUUCUUGUUUUUCGUCUAUGUUUUUACGCUCACUGCUAGUCUUUCUCAAACUCCAAAACCAUUCUCACUUUCCCAUCAUCCAAGACCACCGACCUUCCACCUUCCGGCACCGUUUUCCGGCAACUCGGCCGGCACCGUCCUUCCUUCUUUCUUAAUCGUAUAGUUCUGUUUCAAAUACAAAGUUGCGGGGACUUCAAGCUAUUAAUGUUGCAUCCUUUUCUUAUUUCUUUCUCAAAUGGAAACUAAAUCCUCCACAAACUUAUUAACGAUUCAAUUAGUGGAUGAUGAUGUGAUUUCUGUAAUGAAGGCAUGCAAGCUUAGGUUCUCCAAGCCUAAUAAAUACUGGGUUGAAAGCUCUCAAAAGAGGUAUUGCCUCAUGCAGAGGAUUCGGUUCUUGGAAUAGUUGUUGACUCCAGAUCAGAUAACUUUCUUGUGGAUAUAAAAGGACAUGCUUUAGCAUUUCUACCUGUUAGAAUAUUAAAAAAUAUC